RNAcentral lists this ribosomal RNA (87 nucleotides) under Erysimum cheiri. Its description in RNAcentral is "partial 5.8S ribosomal RNA". It matches the Rfam family "5.8S ribosomal RNA", at positions 73 to 154 of the family's 154-position model. Rfam says of the family: 5.8S ribosomal RNA (5.8S rRNA) is a component of the large subunit of the eukaryotic ribosome. It is transcribed by RNA polymerase I as part of the 45S precursor that also contains 18S and 28S rRNA. The record is from RNAcentral. Lineage: Eukaryota; Viridiplantae; Streptophyta; Magnoliopsida; Brassicales; Brassicaceae. RNAcentral also lists the same sequence under 2 other names.
UGCAGAAUCCCGUGAACCAUCGAGUCUUUGAACGCAAGUUGCGCCCCAAGCCUUUUGGCCGAGGGCACGUCUGCCUGGGUGUCACAA